GGCGGCGACACGCGAAGCCUAGGGUAGAGUUGAAUAGGAGAACAGGGCGGAAACUGCGGCUGGGCUACCACGUGCCUGAUUCCGGCACCUAGACAUGAGAUGGAGUUCGGUUAAGUCUUCAGGCCCCAGAGCCCGAACUCCGCCCUUUGGGACUUUGAGUGGGGUGUGCACCGCACGAUGCGUGCGUGCUGGGCCAAGUCGUGAGAACACCAGCCACUCGGAAGGUUGGCAGCCUCGUUGCCUCUGCAGCUUGGCUCCUGCCCCUGCCCACGGGGCUGGGAGGAGCUCAGGAUUCUUGUCUGCCCUGUUUUAAACUUGUAUGGUUCUGUUCCAACAAAUAAAUGUAUCCAUACUUUAGGUAAAA
This 364-nucleotide long non-coding RNA is filed under the name Rattus norvegicus (Norway rat). Its description in RNAcentral is "long non-coding RNA NONRATT012587". The record is from RNAcentral. Lineage: Eukaryota; Metazoa; Chordata; Mammalia; Rodentia; Muridae.